CAGGACUAGAGGGCUCCAGAAGGGCUUCUGAGAAGAAGAAGGGUGUGCCCAGGUGAGAGAAGAGCAAUGGAGUCUUGCCAGAUUCUUGCUGGUAUAUAUACAGAUUGAAAACCAAGGUGCUAUAGAAUUCAAGAUCUGACAGGAGCUGGGGAAACAACAUGUCUGGGAUACAAAAGAAACCAAGGCUGCUGUCCUGCUACCUCUGUAUGGAUAGCAAGGAACAGGCAGAACCUUUUAAAAUGGAUCAAAAGGACUUCACACCUUUUAAUCCCUUAAUCGCUAAAAGGGAAAGUGAGAAAUUACUUCUAACCACAAAACCAGAAAUAUUUGAAGUACUUUCACUUUUACUGAUUGUGUGCUUCCAAAGAGUGACCAUUGGGUGAUUUUUGGCAAUUCCUCCCCUUCCUCAGUUUCCCCAUUUGCUUCUAUGAGGGGAAAUGGCUAAAAAUGGCAUCAUUUUACAAAUUCUGAAAUUAAAUAAAUUUCAAUAUUUUAGAAUUAAUUCUGACUUUACUGACCUGAUUUUAGGGGGGGGGGCGGGAUCAGAUUAGGAUUUUACUGGGUUUUUACCAAUUUGGGGCAACUUCUGAUAAAAUCCAAAUUUUUGAAUCUCAAUUUGCAAAGGCCUAAUGCUUAUUAAGCUGGUAUUUGCUAACAGAAGUAUUCUUUCAAAUAUUUCUGGAAACAUUCACUUAUCUUCAACAAUUCUGUAUCCAACUGAUUAAUUUGAAAUAGUGACAAGAAACAAUCUUUCCUUGAAACCAAGAUUGCAUCUAGUCAAUAUAUAAUUUUGUAUCCAUUCAAAGACUGGAGACCUCAUUUUUCUGCUAUUUGAUAUCUAAUUGAAAAGUGUAAGGGUUUUUUGUAAGUCCUACACUUUUAU
Long non-coding RNA from Hemicordylus capensis (graceful crag lizard), 883 nucleotides. RefSeq lists it as uncharacterized. The record is from RefSeq and is a predicted model, not a curated record. Lineage: Eukaryota; Metazoa; Chordata; Lepidosauria; Squamata; Cordylidae. The transcript has 3 exons.